UACAGAGGGCGCGAGCGUUGUCCGGAAUCACUGGGCGUAAAGGGCGCGUAGGUGGCGGCAUAAGGCCGCGGUGAAAGUUCGGGGCUCAACCCUGAAUCGGCCGCGGCGACUGUGUCGCUUGGGCACUGUAGAGGCAGAUGGAAUUCCUGGUGUAGCAGUGAAAUGCGUAGAUAUCAGGAGGAACACCCGUGGCGAAGGCGGCUGCCUGGGGCAUCACUGACACUGAGAAGCGAAAGCUAGGGGAGCGAACGGG
RNAcentral lists this ribosomal RNA (253 nucleotides) under uncultured bacterium. RNAcentral's name for it is "partial 16S ribosomal RNA". It matches the Rfam family "Bacterial small subunit ribosomal RNA", at positions 524 to 776 of the family's 1533-position model. The record is from RNAcentral.